This is an RNA transcript of Lineus longissimus, 6548 nucleotides long. RefSeq lists it as uncharacterized. Lineage: Eukaryota; Metazoa; Nemertea; Pilidiophora; Heteronemertea; Lineidae. The record is from RefSeq and is a predicted model, not a curated record. The transcript is spliced from 20 exons.
GAUACCCGGAUUGUAAACAAAUGUGACUUCUAUUGCUAAAGCAGAUGAUACUGACAUGACUGAUAGUGAAUGAAAUGUUAAUAACCAUUCUCACUAUUAUCUGUGUGAUGGAUCAACGAUGGGCAGCAGUAGUAGUAGCAGCUUGAAGACCCAGGGUGUGGCUGCAUUGAGCUCAACCAACUCCACAAAACAAAUUAUUAACACAGAUAUAAAUAACUCGUCUAAACCCUCCAAAAAUAUUGACAAAAAUAAACCGCUCCCUGCAGAGGAAACUGUUGUUAACCCUUGGCCGAUACAAGGAAAAGAGAAUUCAAAAAUUGUUGAGAAACGGAAAAAUGUGGAGACUCAGACAAAGUCAGAUACCCUGAAGGAGAAUAGUGCUCCUGUCAGAACACAAGGUGAUGCUGAACAAUCCUCAAAAGAAAACGAGAUGAAGGCAUCUAAAGUUUCCGUCAAGUCCGCAUCCAAGGUUGAUGUUGUCGCCAGGAAGAAAGCUGAAGAAAAGAUGGUUGUGACAGCGUCGAUGAAAGAGCAGGCAGACUUCAAUAUUGCAUUACGGUUAAUGUGCCCCCUGAUGGCCCCAGAUGAAAUCAUGAAAUAUUCCAAGCUGGGUGUGCUGCGUGUUCAGCUUCUGAGGGCAUUGCCCCCUGGUGGUGACCUAUUCAAGUUGCUGAGAGGUCUUCGUAAUCUGCAAGAGCUGGAUGUGUCCCAUAACGAUCUUGGACCACAGGGUUUCCGAGCCCUCAUGUUGGCCAUGGCUGAUAAUGGAACAAUCAAAUCACUAAAUGUGGCAAAUAAUCAAACAGAUGUAGACUCCGCUAAAUCGAUUGGUAUCAUGCUGUCUUCCAAUCGUUGUCUCAUUGACCUUGACCUCAGCAGCAACUACCUGGGCAAGGAUUUCCUGUCACGGAGUAUUGGACCCGCCCUCAAGGUCAACAAGACGCUGGGGUCGCUGAAGGUGGAGAGUUGUGGGUCGACAGACUUGACCGUGUUUCUAGACGGAUUGUUGGAGAACUCGAUAUUGACUGACCUGAAUCUCAACCAUAAUGAGAUGGGAGAUAAGGCACAUUUAGGUAUUGGUCUUGCAAAAUGUCUCAAGAAGCCAGAUUGUGCCUUGCAGUGUCUACGCCUGCAAAACUGUGGUAUCAACGCUGCUGGUAUGAAAGCAAUAGAGGGCGCUCUGAGAAGCAAUACAUCACUGCAUGUAAUCAACCUGGCUGGCAACGAGCUCUCCACCCAGAGUUCGUUGAUGGAGUUACUAGGCACGUGUCUGAUACAUUCCAACCUUGAGAUGUUAACCCUCGAUGAUUGUCGGAUUCUGGACAAGGGCACAGUCAAGUCAGAUUCUUUCUCUACGUUUGAUGCACCGUCCAAGAUGAAGUUGCUGAGCCUGUCCAGCCUCUCUCUCUCAGAUGAUGCCAUGGGGACCUUCUUCAAGGUCACAGGAGCAAAGCUUGACCAACUGGAAAACCUCAACUUAUCAAACAAUUCAGUUUCUGUGGCAACGUUAAAAACAUUCCAAGACGUGACGACGAGGGAAGAUGGCAGUAGCAGCCUUGAGAGUUUACAUCUCUGCCUCAAUGAUGUGUCUUAUCUGCCCGAGUUCUUAUCUGCGUCAAAUCUUCACAAUCUGCGAGUCCUAAAUCUACGACGUGCUCGGGUCAAACCAACAACAGUCCAGGAUCUGGCACCCUCCAUCCAAAAGCUUGGAAUCUCAGCGUUAAUCUUGAAUGGCCUUAAGUUAUCGAGGACGACUGCUCUCACUGAGAUUCUAGGCAACGGCCCAAACAACCCCCUGGAACUUCUUUCCAUCUCGUCAUGUGCCCUUGUUGACAACGAUAUCAAACAGAUCGCCAGCGCAAUCAAAGAUGGCUGCCAACUGCAGAUGCUCGAUGCAAGCGCCAAUAGAAUCACAGAUAAAGGUGUGGCGGACAUUGUUGGAGCUCUCAUCUCAAUGGAGACACAUCCGUUGCAACUGUUAGACCUGUCUUCCAAUCAGAUCACCUCCUCUGGAGCAGAAUGUUUGUCAGGUCUGUUCCUGGAGAAGAAACACUCGAGCUGCGUACACAGCUUGAAACUAGCAAAUAAUGACAUCGGUUCUGCUGGUCUGGUCACCUUGAUGAAGGCUGUCCACCCCUCCUCCUCCCUGCUGUGUCUCUCCGUCAACUCACAGAAUGCUAACUAUGAUGAAGACGAAAUGAGCGAGAUUUACACGAGCCUUGCUCUGUCACUUGGAUUUGUAUUCGACGCAAACUCUGAGCCCAGGAUGCACAGCAGCAAGUUACCUCCACUCUAUCACGGUCUGGUUAUCAAUCUAUGGAAUCUGGGAGGUGACCCAGGCCUGCUUGGAAAGCAACUUGAUAGUGUUGCCAUAGCAACUGACUACAAACAGAAACACAUUCCAAAUUUGACACUGUCCGACGUUUUGAAGAUUUCGUCCGUUCUCAAGGGUUCAGAUGAACCCGACUGCCUGAUGUCAAGUGAGCACUGGAACAUGAUAAUCGGAGCAGAUAAAGAGGCGCCAUCCUGGCUGCAAGUGGACUCGCUGCGAGAUGUGGCCGUCUACAUGACUAACCUUCCACCAGCCGUGACGCAACUCAAGCUGGAGGGAUUCUUGGAGGCUGAAGUAGAUUGCUCAGUGAAAGAAGUCUGUCUCAUGAAGGAUCCAGUCCUGCAUCAGAACAAUGGAUCGGCUUGGGUUUUGAUGAUGGACGCUGCAUCCGUCGAGAAAGCCGUUGAUUUCUACGAGAGUGGUCUGGCGCAGAUCAUUGGGCAGCCAUUCAACAUGUGCCGGGUUCAGGUCAAGGUUGAUGACUGCGCUAACACCCAGGCCGUCGCCAAGGCAAAGGCCGAGGUUGAACAGCGACUGAAGAAGCAGGAGGCUGACGAAGCUAGUCACAGGCAGCUGAUUGGUCGUUUAUAUCACGAGUCUCAAGCAAGGCACGAAUAUCGUCUCAAACAUCCUGCAUAUACUGAUGGGAGGAUUUGAUGCCCCAAGCCAAGUUCUCCAAUGCAACCGAUCAUGAAUGAUGUCUAUCGCGAGGUGAAGGAAGGUCCAUUCCGCGGACUCCGUAUGGAAGGCGUGUGCCAAGCAGCCGGCCGACGACUUGGCGGAGUCCAAAGCACGGUACGCUUUGUGUCUCUUGUCGGGCGCCCCUAGGGGACCCUGUCGUUCGGUUCUACGACUGAGGGGGUUCAGCAUGAGGGCGUGUCGUCUUCGUUCAUUUUGCCAUUUCAACGCGAAAAAGAGAGGUUUUUAUAUUAAAUAGGCCUUCCCUCUCUUACGCUGUUGAAGGGCUUAAGAAAGUUGACGACAUGGUGCGGGAUGGAGUCCGGGACGGGCUCCGGACUCGCCUUUGCCGUUUACCAGACGGCUCGCACUUAACUUGAUGGGUUAACCCUCUAUGCUCUCCGGCGGCAGUCGUAGAAGAUAUGCUCUCCGGCGGCAGUCGUAGAAGAUCAGGCACUGAAGUAGAUGAUAUUACAACAAACAGCAUAGACGGAAAGACCACCUCCGAAUGGAAGGAAGAGGGUCGGUGCGAUGGGGCAUGCUUGUUGAAGAGGGCUGAAGAUGCACGAUCGUGGCGUGACAGACGUCUGGGGAUGGAUUCGGACGCGAGCAAGAUGUGUGCCGCAUUUAGGGUAACUUCAUUUCAUUAUUUUUGAACCCAAUUUUAAAAAUUAUGAGCGAUUUAAAUCGUUAAGAUUCUUUUCAGGAAGAGCAUCCGGGAGACCAGUGCGAAGCAAGAUCCAUCUUGCAGAGCCAAGAACACCGCAGAGAGCCCAGCGUGUGACGAGAGCCCAGCGUGUGACGAGAGCCCAGCGUGUGACGAGAGCCCAGCGUGUGACGAGAGCCCAGCGUGUGACGCGAACCCAGCGUGACGAGAGCCCAGCGUGACGCAGCCCCACUAUACAGAGGUUUGAACAUGAUCCCAGUUUGAACACGACAAGGACUUGGACAACAGCCGUGCCCGGCCACCUGACACGAUCCUGCCAAGGGAAGCGGUUGUGCCGUUAUCUUUUGAUCGAUUCCAAACGGCCAGACAGCCGAUGGAGAAUGCUGCAGUGUUACUUCAGGUAAGCGGCCAGACAGCCGAUGGAGAAUGCUGCAGUGGUACUUCAGGUAAGCGGCCAGACAGCCGAUGGAGAAUGCUGCAGUGUUACUUCAGUUUUCCCAAAAGAUGGGCAACACCAGAACAAGGGAACCACUCGGCUCGAACUGCUGGAAAUGACACAGAAGUGGAAGUCCUCGUCCGGAGGCGGUGUAACAUCUGUGGUUGUUUCCCAUGUGUCAGUGUUUCCAAACAAUAGGCAGCUAGAGAGACCAUGACUUUUCAAUAGGGGGAAACACAGAAAAACUUGUCAAUCUAUCUUUUAGCGUUCCCAAACAAUGAGGGGAAACACUCAAAAAUAGAAACACUCAAAAACAUUACACCGGCAUCACCACAUCCAGGUCACAGGAUAUUCAUCACCACGACCAGGUCACAGGAUAUUCAUCACCACGUCCAGGUCACAGGAUAUUCAUCACCACGCCCAUCGCUCCAACUGCUGGAAAUGACACUCUCAAGGAUGUGCAUUGUAACUGGAGGUUGCAGAGAGUUUGCACCACCACACCCAGUCCUGGAUGGAAACAGAAUUUAUGAUCUAAUCAAAUGGAAGACCGCAAUUGUCCUGAGAUGACGAGGUUAAGUAGAAUUGUCCACAGACGUGCACGGAUAAUGAAAGUCUUGUACAUCCAGGGGACGGAAGAGGUAUCCAGGGGCUCGGUACGCAUACCAAUCCUGGAACAGACUCUCUAUCUAACUGUGUGAAGCUUUCGAUCGGACUGUGAAUAUCUCGAUAACACACGUGUUUAUAUGCAUAGACGUUUUCAUCGCGUAUCGUAUUCUUAAACGCAAACGCAAUUCUUAGUUCAGAUUGAAUCGCAAACGAAGGAUUCGCGAAAGCCACGGACCAUCGCUAGACUAUUUUAUUUUCUUCGCUCAGAUCGAACUGUUGAAAAUGUGGAUUAUAUUUAUGUACUUCAUUUGAACCACAAACGAAGGAUUUGGACAAGAUGCGUACCUCUAACCCCUUCAUUUGACGAGACGUGAUACCAAUCUCACAAGCACUGGAUGACGGCAUGCUUCAGGAAUCUCUUUACGACUGAUGCCAUGUGACGACGGGGGCACAUCUUGAGGCAAGAUGACACAAUGGAUGUGGAACCCUCGGCCCCUGAACGAUUGUCGCUAUGGGAGUCAUUAGCAACAGACUUCCUCUGGUGUAGUAUUGUAUAUUCGCUACCUGUAGGCCUCUGCAGAAGGAUACGUUGUAUUUUAUCGAAAUAUCUGAUUGAAAGGUGGUUUCAUUGCAAUUGUACGUUUAUCGAAUGUUUCACAGCUGGAAGGUCUUUAAAAGACUUUCCAUCAGUCAUAGUCAGUCACUCCUCCUAGAUGAUUGUUGAUUAAGAACCAGAACCAGAUCCAAAUAAGUCAAGGUUCUGAUGUACCAGGUCAAAAUUUACUAUCGAGCUGUUAAAAGUCACUUCAUUUUUCUCCAAAAUCACCAAAUUGAUCAGAUAUUUCAAUUUUCCCAUCGAAUGAGACAUGGGGUCCACGUGAUUCUGGUUGGUUCGACCCCAGCCAACCAGAACAUGUGUUGUCUUUGAUGGAACCGUAGGCCUUAUGAACUUUCUCGAUCCAUUCAGUACCACGAAUACCUGCGUUUAUUCCAAUCGGCUUCCGAGACCUGAUAGUGCCGGUCUCCAUUUGGGACAGUUAUGAAAUUGGCAUACUCUAGCCUCCAUUUUAUACAAGUAUCUUAAAUUUCCUUAAACACGGUAAUUAUCCGGGUGCCUUUCAUUCUUGGUUUCAUCAAUGAUAUGAUAACAAAGGUUAACCCCCAAGACCAAAACAAAUGCAAAAGAAUCGGGCAAAUUCAUUUCCAAAUUUUGAGAUUUCGUUGAAAUAUUUUGUUGAUUGAAAUUUUUCCAAAAUAUUCCAAAUUGAUGCUGGUUCCUGACCUUGCGGUCAAGUGGAAGAGCUCAGUCUUUUCAUGAUAAUUAGUCCAGAAAGAUUCAUCUUGUUUCUUUCUGUGAGUUAUAAAGAUAACAACUGCCCCAUCAAGAAGUUUCCUGUGGUACAGAAUGGGUCGAGCAAGCUGUCACCAACGUCAAUGUCUGACGUUUUAUGUAUUAAUUUGUUAUGUUUGUAUAAUGAUACAAUAUGUGAAAUUUACAUAUAAAAGCCAUAAUACAUGUAAAGGUGAAGGUGAAUUCAAAAAGUUACUUCUGUUGUUAAACUCGUCCAAAGCAACCGCUUUUGUCAUGCAAAUGAGAAGACUGAUCUGAACGCCUGAUCUAGAGGGGCCCCUUUUGUCAUGCAAAUGAGAUCACAGCACGGUCCUGUUGAUCGCCAUGACGAAAUUGGUUCUUUUGUUAUUUAAAUAACCGACUAACCGAUGUCGUGCUGUUUCGGAUCAAUGAGGUCAAGGUUCGUGACCUGAAUACACCACAGCAGUUCACCUUGCUUGCAUUUACAAUGGUUGUCGCUGCAUGCGACUCAAUUUAU